CCGGGAGAGGUUCCACCCUAACGGCUCUCGGGCGCGUGCACGCGAGCUUCUCCCGCCCCCUUCCCCCAGAUCUCGCGAGACUCGGGUUAUUAAACGACUCGCGAGACUCGGGUUAUUAAACGACCCUCGAGCCGGAUCUGCCCGAGGCGCCAAACCUCAUGCUACCAGCUGCGAGGGGGCUGGGGUUGGGCGGCACGCUGUGCUGGCGAACCAGACCCAAAUUAGCAAAUGUGCCAGAGGGUUACCCCGAGUUGAAAGUAACUGAAGACCUUACUAGUCAAGGACCACCGUAAUACAGGUUCAAGGCCUCAAUUCCUCUUGACCACCAAAAUGACAAAAAUCUGAGCUGAAAACUUGGCAAGGACUUUUUACUUACAGCUCUUCCUUGAGGGUGAACUUCAGGGUUCUAGAUUCAAGUGGAUGUGGAUUUCUUAGAGUGCCUACCUUGGUGGGCCCUAGACUUUGCGUUUUGCAUCCCUAACCCUACAAACCUACCAAAAGUGUAGCUCAGUUUCAAUACAAAGCUAUUAACUACACAAUUAGCAAGUACCCUGAAGCCAAAUAUGUGCCUUUAUGUGCUACAUUUACAAGGGACAAGCAAGUGGUUCAGGGAAGAGAUACAAGAGAUAAGAGGUCUGGACUAGAGUAUUAGAGAGAUUCAGGGGAUUCUUAGGAGGUAGAAUCUAAUUAAUUCAGUGAUUAUUUAACAGGGUAUGAAGGAGGAAGCAGUCAAGAAUGACUGUUUUCUAGUUUGAGCUACUGAGUACAAGUGUCAGUAACAGAGGAGAUUUACAGGGGAAGAUGAUGAGGUUCCAUUUUGGAUGCUUUGAACUUGAGAUGCCUUUGAAUCAUCUAAGCGGUGUUGUCUUUGAAGCAGCUGGACAUAGAGGGCUACAGGAGGGCUUGGACUGGAGUUAGCCUCUUGAUGAUAAUGGAAGCCUGGGAAGUAGAGAUGAUCUCACCCAGGGAAAGAGUAUCAAGUGUGAGGUAACGACCUAGAUUUGAACCUGAAGAAUGUCAACAUAUUAGGGACAUGCAGGAGAGUAAACGAAGACGAAUGGCUAGAGCAAGAGAAGAAAACAAGAAUGUGAUGUCAUCAAAGCCAAGAGAAAAGAAUGGUCAGCAGUGUCAAAUGCUUCCUAGAGGGCACCUGACUGGCUCACUAAGUAGAGCAUUGGACGCUUGAGCUCGUCGGGAUCAUGAGUUCAAGACCCACAUUGAGGGGAGGGUUUACUAAAAAACAAAACAAAACAAAAAAUGCUCCCUGGAGAUCAAGCAAGGUAAGGAAUGAUCCACUGAGUUUAGUGACCUCAUUUGUAACCUUGCAAAGCAGUUCUGGUAGAGUGGAGGGGCAGAAACCAGACUGCAGUGGAUUGAGGAUGAUUGGGCAGUGAAAAAUGCAGAAAAUUAUGCAACAACAUGGAUUAUUAAUCUCAAAAUCAGUAUGUUGAGCAAAAGAAGCCUACUCAAGAAUGCAUACUAUAGGACUCCAUUUGGAUGAAAUCCCUGAGCAGGCCAAACUAAUUUAUUGUAACAGCAAGCAGGUCAGUGGUUGCCUAGGGCCACGGGUGGGGAAGGGGAUUGACUGCAGGGGGCACAGGGCAACUUUUGGGACUGAUGGCAAUGAUCUAUAGCUUUAAUGGGCUUGUUACUACACAGAUGUAUGCACUUGUCGUUAUUCGUUGACCUGCACACUUAAAAUGGGUAUAUUUAUUAUACAUAAAUUAUACCUCACUACAGCCUAUUUCAUGUUUUAAAAUGUAGAAAAUGGGGGCGCCUGGGUGGCUCAGUUGGUUAAGCGACUGCCUUCGGCUCAGGUCAUGAUCCCAGGGUCCUGGGAUCGAGCCCCGUGUCGGGCUCCCUGUUCCACGGGAAGCCUGCUUCUACCUCUCCCACUCCCCCUGCUUGUGUUCCCUCUCUUGCUGUCUCUGUCUAAUAAAUAAAUAAAAUCUUCAAAAAUAAAAAAAGAAAAUGUAGAAAAUGAGGGGCACCUGGCUGGCUCAGUCAGAGAAGCAUGUGACUCUUGGUCUCGGGGUUGUGAGUUUGAGCCCCAUGUUGAGUGAAGAGAUUACUUAAGUAAAAAAACUUUUAAAAAAUUUAAAAAUGUAGAGAAUGAGUAUAAUUCAUCAAUUCAUUAAAUAACUCAAUUUGUGAAGAGCUAGAAGCUGUAAAGGCAUUUGUGUAAGAGGUUGAGUGUUUUUAUUUAUUUUUAAGAUUUAUUUAUUUGGAGAGUUGGGUGGGGGCAGAAGGACAGAAUCCUUAAGCAGACUCCCUGCUGAGCACAGAGCCCAGUGUGGGACUCCAUCUCAUGAUUCAUGAGAUUGUGACCUGAGCUGAAACCAAGAGUCAGACGCUUAACCGACUGAGCCACCCAGACGCCCCUAUUUUUUUAUUUAAAAGAUUUAUUCCAGAGGGGCGUCUGCCUUCGACUCAGGUCAUGAUCCCAGCGUCCUGGGAUUGAGCCCCGCAUCGGGCUCCCUGCUCGGCAGUAAGCCUGCUUCUCCCUCUCCCACUCCCCCUACUUGUGUUCCCUCUCUCACUGUCUCUCUCUCUCUCUGUCAAUUAAAUAAAUAAAAUCUUAAAAAAAAAAACUUAAUAAUGCUACAUGUAAAGUCACUGUGGAAGGUGCUUUGAAGACUACAAAGAUGAAUGAGACAUGGUCCUUACUCUUCAGGAGCUUGCAGUCCAGGGAAAAAUAAGUCAUAAGACAUGCCUACAAGAAACUGACAUAGACUAUAAUAAAGUGGGCACAAAGAACUGCUGAUGGUUCUCAGAAACAGUAAUUUCUAUUUGAGGAUGUUAGAAGUAGACAGACCAUUGAGGAGACUAGUUUAAUAGUUCAGCCAAAAGAUUAUCAGUGCUGGAACUAGAAGAGAGGCAAGGAGGACGGAGAGGGAGAAAAGGAUAGUAGAGCCAUUGCAGAAGCAGAAAUUGCUGAUUAGAUACGGAGAGUGAGGAGACAAAUACAGAACGAAGUCAGAGUUUACUUGGUCAGCCAAGUGCAUGGUGGAGCCUUUCACGCUGAUAAGACAAUUCAAGAGGAAGAGCAAUUUGACAGAUUAGAAGGCAGAAGUCAGCACGCUCAUUCCAUCGCCCUCUCCCUAGACUUCCUCCCUGUGGCCUGUAGUUGAGUGGUGGCCAUAUUCCUAUGCCUAAGGGUCAAUUCUGUCAGCCUAUGGAGGUUAAUAGCAUCCAAAUGGUGCUAGCCCCUAGGAGCUUUACAACUUGUUGACUGUAAUUCAGUCCACAUCUUCCUAUAACCCUUCAUUAACUCUCCUCAGUAACCCUGUUUGGUACUCCUUUCUGUCAGGACCUUAAACACGUUGUAUAUGUGUAUUUUUAAGUAAAGUGUGCAUAUUGAGUGUGUGUAUGUAUGUGUAUGUGUAUAUAUAUAUAUAUAUAUAUAUAUAUAUAUAUAUAUAUAUAAUUAUAUGCCUGUAUAUAGGAAACAGCUGCAAAGACACACCAAACUGUUAGCAACAGUUACCACCUGGUAAUGGGGAUGCACUAGGGGAGGGACAAAGGAAAAGAAAAAAGACACCUUUAUUUUAUAUUCUGUAUCAUUUGAGUUACUUAAAACAGUAAGUUUGUAUACUUUUAAAGUAAUAGAGUUUUAAAAGUAGAUCAAGAGCAUCAAUCAGCCUAAUACAAGAAGUUCAGUAAACUCAUUGAAAGGAUGAAACCUCCCUAAGAAACACUCAGUCAACAAAAUUACAGAGAAAAACACUCAACUUAAAUAAAAAUUUAAUGAUCAAUGCAUAUUGAAAGAUGAUGAAAUUCUUGUAUGACGGCAGCAUCCAAGGACUCUCUCCAUUCUCAUGGCUCCCAGCCCUUCCCUCCAGGCUGCUGGGGUAACUUGAGACCCACUAAGCCAGCAGACUCCUCCACUGAGCGCUCACCCUUGCCAUGAAAUUCCUGAUGAAGGGCCACAUGUUCUCGAAUGCUGCGUAGGAGGCAGAGAUAGGUGGCAGCUUGGAAAUGAAGCUCAUGUUGGGCUCUGCACAGCUUCUCACUGGUAACCUAGAAAACAGCAAGGGCACAUACUUUAUUAGCAGCCCAGCUAAGCUACAGGGCCACACAGAUUUCAUAAGCAUUCUCUAGAAUGAAAGUAAACUGUACAGAGGAAAUACAAAUAUGUAUAUGUAUAUGCUAAUUACAUACGUAGAGGCACCCUGUAAGUUGGUGGUGAUUGGGAAAGCUGACCUCCAAUUAAUUGAAGAGGAAUUUCACAAGGAGUAUCCCUGAAGAGUUUCAAUGAGUGUCCUCAGAUUUUAAUACCAAAAAAAAAAAAGUCAUUUCAACUCCCUUGUCUUGCAGAUGUUCUACAAAUGAGGAAACCAAAGCCCAGAGAGGCUUUAGUGGUUGGUUACUGACAGAGAUGAGGAACUAUAAUCAUUAAUGUCGCCUAAGGAAUAAUAUCUAGAACUUCUCCCCUUCAAACAAAUGAAAGUCUGCUUUUUAUAUUUCUGACUUUGGUUAAUGUUGUAUAUGUCUUUCAAUGAAAAGUAAAACCAUUUUGUCUGAAAAAUAAUAGCUUUGUCCUCAACAGUAACAAAAUGAAGGUUUUAUAUAUAAAAGUAAUAUGCAUAUAUUAAUAUUACUUAAUUAUACUUGCUUUCAAUGUACUUAUCCAUCUGAAAAAUCCAGAGUCUGAUGACUAUAAGUAGCUGGAAACUAUAUCCAUUCCGAAGUCCCCAAUGACUCCAAACCUUGUUUUCUCUUCAUAAUUUCCAGAUUUAGUACACUGUCCUUUACUUGACUAGUUUUGUGUUCUGAGGUUGUGAGCAGAGGGCAGAAAAGGUGAAACAGAGAUGUGUGCAUGCUUCAAGUGACUUAAGGAGCCCUGUGUAUAUCUAACUGCAGAUUAAUCUCUGGGCACCAGUGCCUAUGCAAACCCCUUUCUUUCACCUUUCUUUAUUUGAAUAUGUAGGGUUAGAAUCUGAAAACUAGAAAGUGUGGUUUAAGAUCUGAAGAUCACACACACCCAAAGAUGUGCAGAUCACAUAGUAAAAAUGGCACUCAAACUGCUCAAAAAAAGAAUUCAUCUGCUUGGGGCGCCUGGGUGGCUCAGUCGUUAAGCGUCUGCCUUCAGCUCAGGUCACGAUCCCAGAGUCCUGGGAUCAAGCCCCGCAUCGGGCUCCCUGCUCGGCGGGAAGCCUGCUUCUCCCUCUCCCACUCCCCCUGCUUGUGUUCCCUCUUUCACUGUGUCUCUCUCUGUCAAAUAAAUAAAAUCUUAAAAAAAAAAAAAAAAGAA
Molecule: long non-coding RNA, 5254 nt
Organism: Mirounga angustirostris (Northern elephant seal)
Lineage: Eukaryota; Metazoa; Chordata; Mammalia; Carnivora; Phocidae
Exons: 2
Source: RefSeq, a predicted model, not a curated record